ACAAGUGAAACUCCACUUUAUUGAACGAUGGGGUCUCAAAUGGGCUGCCUCUUUGCCACUCUUUUGGUAGUAUCAGUCUCUCUUAGCUACUUGCCGUUAGAAGCCUCCGCAAACAAAUACUACUACACAUCUCCUCCCCCUCCCAAGUACAAGUCUCCACCACCCCCGCCACCGGUUCACAAUUCUCCACCACCACCCCCUGUUUACCUGCCCCCGCCACCUCCUCCACCAGUCUACGUGCCUGCUCCGGCACCAACUCCAAUUUCCUAUUCCCCGCCACCUCCUGUCCCCAAGUCCCCACCACCACCUCACCCUUACGUCUAUGCAUCUCCCCCUCCUCCUUACUACUACUAGAAAGCGGCCAUGAAUAGCUCAUGCUUUUAUGGUAAUCUCAUUUAUUUUUAAAACUGUACAUGUAAAGACUAGUAGUUCAGAAUUACAUUAAGCAUUUCAAUUUUAAGCACCGUGUUCUGUUUAAUUGCGUUCCUAUUGAUUAAGUGACAAAUAAAAGAGAUUGAUUAAUUUGUUCUUGUAGGAGAGGCGAAUGGUAUCCGAAUAAAGAAAGCAAGGGUUUGAUGGAAGGCUUACUUGGAGCAAGAUAGCGAUCAAUCGAGUUGCUGCGUUUUAUUCUCUUUUAUCUUUGUUUUUUAAGAAAAAUAAACUGCCACGCGUAGAAACAGAAAAUUAAGUUCUUGUCAUUUUCAUGCAUAUGGAUUGUUGAUGUGUGUGUCAAUCAAAUCUCCGGUGUGUCAUUUGUAAUUUUCAACCUUUAUGCAUGCAAAUGGGAGACCUCUUACGUAUAAUAAAAUUAAUAUACUUCCCAAGAUGGUCUUAUCUUGCGUUGACUUUUUACGUUCCUUUGGUGAUGAUUUUGAAUGCCAAAAGCGUGGUCAUGGAUUUUUCGUGCAACUACAGAGCACAUUAACGAGAGACUUAUCCAUGAGGGUCCAUGCAGAUCAGUGUCUAAUUAACCAAUAAUUAAUAUAACUUAAAAAAUAUAGAGUUAACAAUUUUUAUGGGUCAGGCUCAAUUAUAGAUGUUCGUACAAAAUUUCUUGCUAAUGUAUACUUGAGUAUGAUAAUAAGUUUUAAUCAUUAUUAGUAAUUCACUUGAUAAUAUUAAACAAAUUUUCAUAUCAAUUAAGUUACAAAAUUUCUGUGACAAAUUUCCACGUACUGGAACCAUGCAAAAGGGCUUUGUUCAAACAGAGCUGCAUAGCCGUUGGCAAUUAAAAUUAUUUAUCAAUAAAGUUAAGUAGUAAGAAUUGGAUUGUGGAUUCCAUUAAUUAUUUCAAGGAAAAUUUUAUAGAUAAUGCCGUAAUGAAAUUUACGGCAUCAAUAUCAUGAUAAAUAUAAAUAUUGUAAAUUACAAAUAGAAUUAGUAAAUGUAAAGUAAAACCAGUAAAUUCAUAAAAGAUUAUUAAUUAUUUAAAAAAUUAACAUUGUUUCUACAUAAUUUUAGUGAAAAAUAUUUUAUUCAUUUACAAAAAAAAAUUCUUUAAUUAAACAAAAAAAAUUCAUUAAUUAAGCAAAAAAAUUAUACUGAAAAAAAAGUGGAAUAAGUUUUUUUAUCAGUGGUGUGGACUUUGUAAACUUUUCAUCCUUAAUUAAACAUCACAUGUAUUAUAGAAAUGCAAAACUACCAUUGUUAUAUUUAAAUUAAAAAAUAAUAAAUAUAUAAGGUAAUAAACAUUAUAACGAGUUUUUAUUUUAAAAUUGUAAACUUUUAUUUCUGACAAUAACUCUUAUAUUAAUUUAUUUAUUUUGCCUUUUAUUCAUAAGUUUUAUGCAUAAUCUACAAAGUUUAUGUUUUAUUUUGCAUUUAAUGUUGAUUUUCUUUUUUUAUAUUAUACGUAUAAGUUUUCAUUUUAUUUACCAGUAAUACAUCAAUUUAUCAGUUUUAUAGUAAUUUACUUAUUUUACCUUCCUUUUAUAAUUCUUAUGUUUCAUUUCCAAAAUUUAUGUUUUAUUUUACAGUCGUUGAUGAUUUACUAGUUUUAUGUUAUGUUUGCAAGUUUUUGUUUUGUUUACUAGUAAUAGAUUAAUGGGUAAUUUUUAAUUGAGUCCUCAUUAGUUCUAGAAAAAAAAUUCAGAGACCAGAAGUUUACUAAAUGAAUCAAUUAAAUUCUUUCAAUUACAAACUAAUGUCAUUCAAAUCCUUAACUUAAUUGCUCAGUUAAAAAUAUUAACAACGUUGAGGACAUUUUAGUAAAACAACAAAUGAGUCGUUUCUCAUUCUUUAUUUUUGACAGGUGGAAAUAGUUUAAAGUAAACUCAAUUAACCUGAUUAAGUUAAGGAUCAGUUCUUUCAAAUGAAAAAAAAACCUACAGAAACUGCCAUAUUCUUCGUCUGAGAGGAGAGAUCGAGAGAACGUGGGACGGCGCAAAAAAUGUUGUAUAAAUCUACUGUGAUUUUGACCAAAGCUUUGGUAGCAUUGAUUGAGUUCAAGUACUGGAGAGAACCUGAGUUUAAAGGUUAGUAACUCUAUUUUUUUAGUGAUUUCUGCAAGCAUUUUCUGAUAAAAAUUUUUCCAUAUUGAGUGAUCGUUGUGAAAAAUUAAGUUUUUCAAGUCUAUUUUUCAAAAUGACAAACUAUGUUUAAUUAUUGGUGGAUUCUUUUUUUUGUUCAAUGUUGUAUUUUGUUAAUUUGUUGUUUUUAAUUUGCUCUUUAUGUAAUUGUUAGACCAAAUACACCAUUAUUAUACCUGUAUUCAUUUCAACAAUUUGGUAUUGUUAUAUUAAUAAGAUUGAAUUCAUUGUAUUUGCUUCUUUGUUCAUGUAAAAUUGAAUUCUAUGUAUUCUUAUGAGUGAUAAUUUUUCUAUCUAUUAGACUAAAUUCACUAUAUUCACUACUUUCUUUCUUUUUGCUGGGCUAUUUUUUCUUUUUAGUUUAUAUUUUUUAUAUGUAUUAGAUUGAAUUUGCUUUUGUGCGUUUUUUAGCCGAAUUACAUGUAUAUUUCAUUUAGGUUGAGUUUUUUUGUUGUUUGCUAAAUAAAAUUAUAUUGGUUUAUCCUUUUUUGAUGCAAUACUUUUGUUUAAAAUUAAUGCAGGUAGCCAUGUUACCUUUUUUUCGGUUAAAAUUAAUGGGGUGAUGUAUGCGAUAGGAUAUAGGGAACCAGAGGAAUAUAAGAUUAUUAGGCUGUUUCUUGAAAUUCAAGAUGUCAUGGUUAAGCAUGGACACAGUGAAAUGGAUUUGAUUGAAAUUUCUGUUGUAAUUUUUUCUCAAAAUCGGAUUUUGAAAAAAAUAUUAUUUUAAUAUCUUUUAUAGUUGUUUUAAGAUGAGGUUAUUUUACAUCUUUCUACACUUCUUCAGCAACAACCUUAAAUGGUCUCCAAAUACAAGUAAAAAGUUUGAAACUACAUAAAGUAUACAUAAUAUUCAAAAUUAGAUCUAAUUUUAUUGAUAUCUCUUUGUGUUUUUUUACUUGAUCCACAUCAAGAUAAAUAAUUGCACUUAAUUAACAUGUGUAAUAAAUAGAUAUCAUUAUAGAAAAUGGGAAAAAAAUGUAUACAAAUGUCCUAGACUAAAUAUAGAAUUUAUUGAAGAUUGAAAAUUACAAUCUUCAAUCUCAUCGGGAGUCUUUAUGGAAUCCAGCACAUUGAUUGUAACUUGCUGGUCAUUCACCCUCAUGGUUAAUUCUCCCUUUUGAACAUUAAUUAAAGUCUUUCUCGUGGCUAAGAAAGGUCUCCCUACAAUGAUUGACACUUCUUUGUCUGCCUCAAAGUCUAGCACAAUGAAAUCCACCGGAAAAAUAAAUUUAUCCACCUUCACCAACACAUCUUCAAUCUUUCCUUUUGAAUAGGCAUGAGAUCUGUCAGCAAGUUGUAGAGUCACUGUUGUUAGUCUACAUUCACCAACUCCCAAUUGCUUAAAUACUGAUAAAGGCAUGAGGUUGAUGCUAACCCCCAGAUCACAAAGUGUUUUGCCACUGUAUUUAGUGCCUAUGGAGCAUGGGAUUGUGAAGCUUCUUGGAUCCUUCAUCUUUUGUGGUAUCUUACUCUGAAGCAUUCGGCUGCACUCUUACGUUAGAGCAACUGUUUCAAACUCUCCAAGUCUUCUUUUCUUUGUCAAAAUAUCCUUUAAAAGUUUCGCAUAAUUUGGCAUUUGCUCUAGAGCUUCCACAAAAGGGAUAUUGAUAAAUAGUUGUUUCCGGCACUCCCAAGAUUUUGCUGAACUGCUUGUCUUGUUUUUUCUUCUGAAACCUUUAAGGAAAGGGUGGUGGAUGUUUAAAUUGUUGUGCUGCAGCAGGUUGUGCAGACUGCUUCUAUUUUGCUUUACUCGGGUCUGUUGUUGCAAUCUCGUUAUCCACAGGUGUUGGAUCAUCAUUUUUGGCAAAUGCUGCAGCUUGACUGCUCUCACCAGUGAGCUGUGAAGUUGAGGAUUGUGGCUCUUUUUCAAUUUGAGUUUCUUUCUGGAUUGAAGUGGACUCAACUCUUCUUUUUGAUACACCAACGGGACUAUGAACAUCCUUUCCAGAUCUCAAAUUAAUCACUUUGCAGUGCUCUUUCCCUUCUCUUCUUAGGUCCUCUGUAUUACUGGGUAAACUACCUUGAGGUCUGUUGCUCAAUGUUGUAGCAAGCUGUUCAAUUUGAUUUUCCAAGUUUCUCAAAGAUACAAUAUAACUUUGGACAACUACUUCAUUCUUCACAAUAUAAUCCUUAAUCAAACCUUCAAGGGAGCUGAGUUGAUCAUUGUUGAUGCUUCUUUGCUCUUGAUUUUGCUGAUAAAAUCCACUAGGUGCUGCAGCAGUCUGGUUCUGACAACCCCAUGAAAAGUUCGGAUGUUGUCUCCAUCCAGGGUUGUAAGUGUUUGAAUAUGGAUUGCUAUGGUUCUGUCUAUUGAAGCUGCCCACAUAAUUGACUGAAGCUGGAUUCCCAGAACAAUUGUCAAAUAAAUGUCAUUCUCCACAAUAAACACAAGACACAUUAGAAAUUUGGUUAACAGUUGCUGGAGCACUGGUCAUACCUUUCACCAUGUUUGUUAAUGAAGUUACUUGGGUUGACAAUACUGUCAAGGCAUCUACGUUAUGAACUCAUGAUGUUCCUCUUGCAGCAGCUUGUCUGGUUGACGGCCACUGAUAGUUAUUGUUGGCUAUUCUCUCCAAAAUUUCAUAAGCCUCAUUAUAAGACUUAGAUAAUAAGGCCUCAUUUGCUGAAACGUCCACCAUCAAUCUAGUACUUGGGUUGAGACCAUUAUAGAAAGUUUCCAAUUGUAUGCAACAAGGAAUACCAUGAUGAGGACAUCUCCUGAGUAACUCCUUAAAUCUCUCUCAUGCAGCACACAAGCUCUCAUCUUCAAGUUAAUGGAAAGAUGUGAUCUCGUUCCUCAACUUUGCAUUCUUGGUUGGCGGGAAGUAUUUCAUCAAAAACUUUUUAGCCAAAUCAUUACAUGUAGUGAUAGAAUCUGGUGGUAGAGAAUUCGACCAUGCUCUUGCUUGGUCUCUCAAAGAAAAAGGGAAAAGUUUGAGUCUCAAUGCUUCCUGCGAUGCUCCAGCAAUCUUGAAAGCAUCACUUACUUCCAAAAAUAACUUAAGGUAUAGAUGAGGAUCUUUGAAUGGCAAACCAUUAAAUUGCCCCACUGUUUGAAGCAUUUGAAACAUCACGGGUUUGAGUUCAAAAUUGUCAGCUUGAAUGUCGGGUCUAACUAUUCCCGGAUGUAUGGCUUGAGGAGUCAACACUACGUAAUCUCGAAUGGCUCUAUCUAUAUCGUUCGCCAUGUGAAUAAUGUUGUUGUUCCCCGGUUGCCUUUGAACACAUUGUCCAUUCAGACCUUCAUGUACAUUGACUGGUUGUAUCUCCUCUCUACAGUUCAAGUUUCUCAAAUCUUGGAAUUCAUCUAUUAUUACAGCAGCUUGUAAUUCCUGAUGCUCUCUUCUCAAUCUCCUUACAGUUCGUUCAAUUUCUGGAUCAAACUGGAAUUCAAUAGAUUUAUAUUUGCGCAUGCAACGGUUGUUAGAUCACCUAUGUCAACAAAAUAAACAAAUCAAAAUAAAAUUAAAAAUUAGCACCGUUAAAACUAAUUUCACAAAUCACAAUGAAUAAUCAAUCCCCAGCAACGGCGCCAAAAACUUGUUGGGUAAAAAUACUAAUGCUAUUGGUGUCAAUGUGCAAGUGUACACAACAAGUAAUAUAAUUAUGAGUAUUCAAGAUCGUCUCCACAGGAAUUAAUAUUAUUAGAUUUGCUACAGCAAUCCCAACAGUGCAGAUUUUGUUUUAAUGAUCAAUUUAGUUCCUUUGAAACUCUGAUUAUCAAUUAAAAUAAAAAUGCAAUAAAUAAAAUGUAACAAAGUAAAUUAUCACGUCAAACUCAAAGAUAAAACCAAUAGAAAUAUAGAGUAGUUGAGUGAAUAAACUCUCCUAAUGGUCUUGACUAUUUUCUAAUUGUUGGCUUGGUUGCUGCAGUAUCUACUACAACACUGGGCAGAAUCCUUAUGCAUCUUCAGCCGUCGCAUGUUGGAUAUCUUAUAUCUAUAUGCAACCUAACAGUGAUCAGUUAUUAUGCCAACAUAAAAUAUAGCAUUACACACUUUGGUUCUAUUUACCCUACAAGGUGAAUCCCUAUGUCUAGUUCAUCACUAAUCUUAAAUCAAGCAUGACCCUUUUGGGACUCAAGUAAAACUCAAUCCAGGAAACUCAAUUUAAGAUCAAGUAUUGCUUUGAUAUAUUCCACUCAGAUAAGCCCUUUUGUGGCUCUUCCUUAGCUAGUAUCAUUAAAUGGGUGAUCAGCCGAAAUAAUGAAUAAAAAUAAAUUCUAUCAAAACAAAAUGCUACAGCAAACAUGCAUCAACUCAUAUUUUCAGUCAAUAAACCAUCAAGAUUGUUUAUUACUCAACCACAAAUAAAUUUAGUUCAUGAUUUGCAAAAGAAAAAUAAAGAACAAAGUUUCGUCCAUGAAACACAUCCCCAUGAAUAAAUAGAAAACACGAAAAUAAGAGAAGGAUAAGAAGGAUUGAGCUCCCAAUUGAUCUCUGCAAUUUUCAUUUCUCAUCAAACAACUCUCUUUUAGAAUGGAUAUACAAAUGAUAGCUCAGUGAAGAUUUAAUCUAUGAUGAUUUACGAAAUUGAAGCUCAAUAUAUGUUGUGUGCACUUGUUUAUGCUUUCAAGAUUACCAAAAAUGAAUUGGAUUUGAGUUUAUAUAGUUUGAGCCCAAAAACUAGCCGUUAUAGACUAAUUUUUUGUGAUAACUGGCUUGCUGCUUUGUGAAUCUGGUUAGCCAUUUUUAUGUUACUGUUACAGCAAAUAUUUGAAUUUUGGAACAUCUAGCAUGCUGCUUUCGGAAUCCGGUUAGUCGCUUUCAUUCCAGUGAGCUACUGCCCAUAAUCUGACUUGCCGCUUUGUAAAAUCUUGUUAGUCGCAUUGCUACAGUGACGACUACAGUGAACUAUUUUCUAAAAUUACAAAACGUCGUAAAACUUUGCACAAAGGUCCAAUUUUAGAAUUUCUAAAUAAUGCUUGUUAUUCCCAAAACUUUCUGAAAUUAUGAUACCGUCAAAAAUGCUAUAAAACUUUUCAAAUAAGUCCCUCUCCAGAAUUCCAAGCAAUACUUGUUGAUUUCAAAGUUUUCAAAACUCUUUCAAUUAGACCACAAACUUGAAAAACAACCAAUUUUAUAAAAUCAUUUUUUCAUUAAAUAUAAAACCUUUAUAAUGUGAAAAUAAUGAUUUAUUUAAAAUGUAUAAAAAAUAAUUUGAACUUUUAAAGACUUAAUCAUUCUUAAUUUUAUUUGUUAUCAUCAAAAUCAACAUUAUGAAUACAUAAAUGUUAACAAUCUCCCGCUUUUUGAUGAUGACAUAAUUUUCAUGUAUUUAAAGAAUGAUUGCACAAAUUGCUCCUCCUAAAUGUAAGCUCCCCUUACAAUUUGAACUUAAAAGAUUAAUAAUUCUUAAUAUUGUUUGUUAUCAUCAAAAUCAACACUGUGGAAACAUAAAUGUUAACAAUCUCCCCCUUUUUUAUGAUGGCAAACCUUCAUGUAUUUAAAGAAUGAUUCCACAAAUUGCUCCCCCAAAAUGUAAGCUUCUCUUACAAUUUAGCUAAAUUAACAAAUUUAAAUACAUGUAUUCUUCUCCCCCUUCAUCAUAAAAAAGAAAACUUAAUGGAAAAGAAAAAGAGUAGCAAAUUUGUUAUCCAUGUUGUUCGAGUAGAAAUUUCGAUAGAAUCUCCCCAUAACAACAAGCAUCACCUCAAAUACAAGUUUAAUAAUAUUACUCCUAAAUUAUUAUAAAUCAUGAUACAAGCCAACUUCAUAUACAAAUCAUCACACAAUCCAUCAACCAUAAAAACAUCAUGAACCAUUAUUCCAUCAAUUACCAAAUCAACAACUCAUAACAUAAAAUUAUCAUGUAAAACAACCAUGUAAUCAAAUCAUCAUCAUAUCCCAAAAUCAUCAAAAUCAUCACCAUAAUCACAUAUCAAUCAUCAAAACAAUACUCAAAGUGCAUAUUAUUCUCCUCCUUUUGACAACAUCGAAAUGAUAUAUUACUUUGUCUCCCCCUUUGGACAACAAAAAAGUUCAAAAUGCAUAUUAUCCAAAAUCAUAUUGUAUGCUCCCCCUAAAUAUAUGGCCAAUUUAAAAUUUUAACCAAACUGAUUUUAUCCAAAAAUAUAUCAUAUUUAUCUCUCUCUUCAUCAUAAAAAAAAAAAGAUAGAUAUAUGCAAUCGAAACAAGAUCAUCAAAAAUAAUUCAAUGAAGAUAUUACCCAUUUUGUGCGAACAAAAAUUUUGGUAGUCUCCCCUUAAAAUUAAACAAAUCCUCAAACACACAACAUGGUUAAAAACACUUCCAUAUAAGCUUAAAUAAUUAUAACAAACCAACAACUCCAUCAAUUCAUUAAAGCAACACACAUAUAAUCAUCAAUCAUCAAAAUCAUCAAGAAAUCAAUUUUAAUAGUAUUAAUAACAUGAUUAGAGAUAUUAAUAAAUUUCAUCAUCCUAAGUUCAUGCCGAAUUUUUGAAAAUUGUUCUUCGCAAAAGGGUUUUGAUUUGUUUACCAAAUUGGCAUGCAAAAGUUAUAAGAACAUAUUAUCAACUAUCCAAGCUCCAUAAUUACUAAUCACGUUUUAGAAAUUAAGACAACUAAACUCAUCAAAGAUCUAAUGUGACAUUUCAAUAUAAUUUAAAAAUAUUAUAUGCUUAAAUUCUCGAAGUAUAUGUAUUUUUUCCUUUUUCGAUAUCAUUUAAAACAAGUAAUGCAUAUUCAACAAUACAUCGAUAAAGUAUAAAAAAUGCAUCCAUUCAUCAAUCAUAGAUUGCAUAAGAUCAAACUUCAUCAAAUACAAUGUAAUCAUCAAAGCACAUUCUUUAUCAUCAAAACUUAAGUAAAGCAUAAGUACAUAAUGACAAUAUAUAGAUCAUCAAAAUCAACAUAUAGCAAUAUAUAGAUCAUCAAAAUCAACAUAGCUAUUAAGAAAAGCCAUCAUGAUGAGCUAAACAACAAGUGAUCAAAUCCAUUAUUACAAAUGCUCACAUAGGCCAAUUUAAUAAAUGAUGAUAUAAUACAAUAAAUGACAUAUGAAUUUACACAUACAUAAGUGAUGAACGAAUAAGGAAGAUGAAUAAAUGACAUGAAACAUGAUGAUAGACAAUUAAAAAAAAAAAGAGAGAUCAAAGGUCAUACAAUCAUUGAAAUCAAACAAAGGCAUCAUGAUAAGUUUCAUGAUAAGUUGACAUGCUACCAUCAUAUAGAUUUAUCCAUACAUCAUGAUUACAUACAAUAAUAAUUCAAUUAUGUAAACGUAUGAGUAUGCUUUUGUAAAUUCAAGCUAUUAUCCAUCCAUCAUGAUUCAUUCAGCAAAAUCAAUAUGGCAAGAAUUGUUACCAAAAUAAUUAAAUCAUCUUGCCUCAUCUUUUUCUCUUAGAUCAUAAUCAAGUGAUUAUCCUCACAAUCUUUCAUCAAGGAACUCUCUACCAUUUCUUGAUUAUGGUACCUUGAUAACUCUAUAAAAUAAGAGUUAUCAUGACACUUUUAGACUUAAAUCAAUAAUAUUUCGAGAGUAAAUAAUGUGUUUUCAUUGUAUUUUUGUUUAAUUUUGCAUAAACAUUCACUUAGUUUAUUCGUAAUAAAUUAUGUUUGAUUUAGAAUAAUUUGUGUGCUAAAUCAUAUGCAUAAUUGUAGGUGUCCGGAAGCCCAAAUUUCAAUGAAAGAAUGCUGAUGCAAUAGGCUUGCAAAAGAUAGAAAAGAACUUGGCUACAAAAGAAUUGAAACAAAUCUGGAACAAUUCAGUUGUUGUAGUUAUUGCUGUAGCAACCUAGAACAACGACAGAGAAAAUUCUGCGUGGGAUAAUUGCAGAAUUGAGAUCUGAAGUUUCCUAAUCUGACUUAUGCAUGACCUAAGCUUCCGUUGCCCUAAUUUUCAAUUAUAAAAGAAGUACACAUCAUAAGGAAAAGAGGGAGCCGUCACCCAAGGAGAAAAAUAAAAAGAAACAAAAGAAAAACAAUCUCUUGAUUGUAAGGCCAUCUCCAAUGCAUAACGCCAUUUUUGUGUAACACCAACACCAAAAAUGUACCUUUUUCACACCAACUUACUGUUUCAUCUCCAACCCAUUUACACCAAAUUUUACACCAAAAAGAAUAUUCUUCUUUUUAUUCUUUUAAUUCUCAAGAAUUAAUUCAAUUAACACAAUAAAUAUUACUAUUAAUAUAGAUAAUUACGUAAUAAAUAAUUUUAUAUCGAUUAACAAAAGAAAUAUAGAAAAUUAUUAAUUUUGUAAUAUGUAAUCUAGUAAUUAAUGUUAUUGGCAUUUUAUUUUUAUUAUUAAUUUUUGUGUUGAAUAUUUUUUAUUUAAAAUUUUAGUAUAAUAUUCAAAAAUUAAAAAAAUGAAAUAAAAAGAAUAACAAAAAUAAUAAUAACUUAAAAUAUUAUAUAAAAUAGGGCAUAUAUGUAAAUAAGAAAAAGUAAUAAGGAUAUUUGGGACUUUUUUUCCGCAACACCAAAUGAAUAGUGUUGCACCAUAUUUGGUGCAAUACUAUUCAUAACACCAUUUUGGUGUUGGUUUUGGUGUUACAUUGGAGAAGCAUUUUACACCAAAAAUGGUGUCAAAAGUGAUUUGGUGAUAGGUUUGGUGCUACAUUGGAGAUGCCCUAAAGGUCCAUUGACACCUUGGAAGUCAAUUGUAAAGAACUUGAAGCCUUGAGAUGCUUGGAUAGUGAAAUCCUCAAGCCGGGUGAGCUUAGAGGUGUGGACGUAGGCGGGGAUUGCCGAACCACGUAAAAAUCAUUGUGUUUGUUUUCUCUUCCCUUACUCUCUUAUUAUUAUGCUGUAUUGAAUUUAUUAUUUUUUAUUCCAUUAAUACAUUAGAUUAAAUUAUUUUGUGGUUUGCUUAUCUUAAAUUUUAAAAUUCUAAUUCACCCCCCUCUUGGGUUGCCUAGUUAGUGUUUCAGAAAUAUAUGACAACUUUAAGGAAGAAAAUAGAAUAGUAUUAAUAGAAUCUAUUUUAACCAGUCUUGAAAUAAUUCAAGACAGAUGCAAAAUAUAUAACAAGACUCUAAAUCGUCCAUAAUAAGUCUAUUGAUGAAUAAUAACAAUAAUAGUGAUGUGAAAUUUUUUAUUCAGAAUGCUCAAUUUAGAUUAUAAUAUCUAUAUGAAAGCAUUGAUGGCAUGUACCUUGGUUGGGAAAAUAGAUUGGACACAUUGAUAGAUAUGUUGGAAGAAAAAAUCUAGUUUAUGUCUCAAGAGAGACAAGAAAUUAUAAAUGCCGGUGCUAUAGUAUAUUUGGAUUUGAUGAUCAUUUAGAUCUUUAUAAAAUUAUAAUAAAACUUUAAAAAUAUUUAAAAAUAUAUGUAGAAGAGAUGGAAGAAGAAAUCAUCCAGUUAUUCAAAAUCAAUUAAACAAAAAUAAAAGGUAAAAUCCUUGAAUUAUAUAAAUUAUACAAUUUCACAAAAAUUUAGCAUAUAUUGCAGAAAGGUCCUUGUGGCAUAGAUUAUGGGACUAGUGUAGCAUAAAUACUAAUAUUGUUUUUUAUUUUGUAAAUAAAUUAUUGCGUCAUAAUUUUUUUACAUACAAAUUUUAUGUUCUAAAAUAUUAAUUUGUUUUUGUAUUUAGAGUUAAUUUUAUAAUUUCAGACUUUGUUCAACUAUAUGUCCAAGUCCUUCACGUGUUGGUUGAUGUUGAAUAUUCAAAGAUCCACAAGCUAUCAACAACAACAAAUCAAAUUAAACUAAUUAGCUAACACAUAAUGAUUGGGUUGUUUCCUAUGCUUGUUAAUGAUGUAGAACAUUAUUUUAGAAUUUUAGAAUUUUAAUUCUUUAGGUCUUUUGAUAUUUUUUUUAAUUAAAGUCAGUGUCUUAGACUUUUAUUUCUAUUAUAAUUAUCAUUUACUUUCCCUUUUAAGUUAACUUAGGAAAGUAGAUUUACUCUAUUAUAAAUAAAGAGAUCUUGUUAUCACUUUUAUAACUUCAACUUCAAUUAUUCAAUUAAAAACCCCUCUUUUAUAAUUUCCUUUGGUAUUAUCUAUUAAAAAUUCCUCUUUGAGAGUUGUUUGAUUAUAGCAUCAUCUAGCCUUGCUUAACGCAGUUUUAAAAAUCUCAUUGAGUUUAAUUACAUUUCGAUUAGAGCGUAACUUAAUCGUAUUGACUUGGUCCAGUACUUGAACCAUAUCUAGUGUUUUGCUUCCGCUACGCCCAAGGAGAAAAUUAAUUUCACCGUGAGAUAAGAGCAUUGAAAGGAAUUCAUGAGAAAUUUAAAUUAAGCUUUGUUAAAUAUAUCGCUAGCUACUUGUUUUUGGAGGAACUAAAACAAUUAAUUAGCUACGAAGUGAAAAUAAAUAAAUAAAUGAAAUCAAGUUGAAAAUAAAAUAAGUUUCGCCGCCUGGAUCCAAGGCCAAAACAUUCAUGAUAAGUUAGGUAAUUAAGUACAUGUUUUCAAGCUCUUCAUGAAGCAUAAUGUUAUUGAAAUAAAUCACAAAGACUCCCUGCGCACAUUAUUACAUUGAUUAAAAAACAAAUGCCAUAUGUUUAACAGGAUCGUGACUCUGGGACUGUUAAUUACUUUAUUCCCUGCUUGGCCAACAGCUGGCCACUAAACAAAUCAUAAAAAUUUUAAAUUUAGUCAAAUUGGUCCGACUUGAUGACAUCCUUUUCAUACAUAAAAUUGUUUAACGUCAAGGUUAAAUAUGAGAAGUUUGGUAGAGAAGGUAAAAGGGAAGUGUAUAUAAGGAGGGGAACGAGCUUUGUUUAUAGCACAAGUGAAACUCCACUCUAUUGAACGAUGGGGUCUCAAAUGGGCUGCCUCUUUGCCACUCUUUUGGUAAUAUCAGUCUGUCUUAGCUACUUGCCGUUAGAAGCCUCCGCAAACAAAUACUACUACACAUCUCCUCCCCCUCCCAAGUAAAAGUCUCCACCACCCCCGCCACCGGUUCACAAUUCUCCACCACCACCCCCGAUUUACAUGCCCCCGCCACCUCCUCCACCAGUCUACCUGCCUGCUCCGGCACCAACACCAAUUUCCUAUUCCCGGCCACCUCCUGUCCCCAAGUCCCCACCACCACCUCACCCUUACGUCUAUGCAUCUCCCCCUCCUCCUUACUACUACUAGAAAGCGGCCAUGAAUAGCUCAUGCUUUU
This 13557-nucleotide long non-coding RNA is filed under the name Citrus x clementina. Its description in RNAcentral is "Citrus clementina (C. clementina) long non-coding RNA (CCLE_LNC004345)". The stretch from base 5226 to 5332 matches the Rfam family "Plant small nucleolar RNA R71". Lineage: Eukaryota; Viridiplantae; Streptophyta; Magnoliopsida; Sapindales; Rutaceae. The record is from RNAcentral.